AAAAUAUAGAUAGUUAUAUCUAUAUAUGAAUAUAUAUGGUAUAUAUAAGAGUUCAAAUCUCUUAAUAUUCAU
Yarrowia lipolytica CLIB122 is the source of this 72-nucleotide non-coding RNA. The record is from the annotation of a RefSeq genome assembly. NCBI's taxonomy places the organism in Eukaryota, Fungi, Ascomycota, Dipodascomycetes, Dipodascales.